ACGACCUUACUUGAAUAGGAUCUGUUCUAUAAACUCGUACCUCUGUAUCCUUGAUUUCUAAGGAGACUAGAAACCAUGUCUAGUGGAUGAACCAUUGACUGGUCGGGCUAGAGCGUGAUUAACAGCCCCUCAGGUCGGGUUUCUGGCUUGUUAUGCAGUAGAUGAUCGUUCUUGGCAUGACUCGAUGGCCAGGCAGCUGUCGGACAGACU
This is a small nucleolar RNA of Salvia splendens (bonfire salvia), 210 nucleotides long. RefSeq annotates it as small nucleolar RNA U3. NCBI's taxonomy places the organism in Eukaryota, Viridiplantae, Streptophyta, Magnoliopsida, Lamiales, Lamiaceae. The transcript has a single exon. The record is from RefSeq and is a predicted model, not a curated record.